AUUGAACGCUGGCGGCAUGCCUUACACAUGCAAGUCGAACGGCAGCACGGGAGCAAUCCUGGUGGCGAGUGGCGAACGGGUGAGUAAUAUAUCGGAACGUGCCCAGUCGUGGGGAUAACGUAGCGAAAGCUACGCUAAUACCGCAUACGAUCUAUGGAUGAAAGCGGGGGAUCGCAAGACCUCGCGCGAUUGGAGCGGCCGAUAUCAGAUUAGGUAGUUGGUGNGGUAAAGGCUCACCAAGCCGACGAUCUGUAGCUGGUCUGAGAGGACGACCAGCCACACUGGGACUGAGACACGGCCCAGACUCCUACGGGAGGCAGCAGUGGGGAAUUUUUGGACAAUGGGCGCAAGCCUGAUCCAGCAAUGCCGCGUGCAGGAUGAAGGCCUUCGG
RNAcentral lists this ribosomal RNA (391 nucleotides) under uncultured bacterium. Its description in RNAcentral is "bacterial SSU rRNA". It matches the Rfam family "Bacterial small subunit ribosomal RNA", at positions 30 to 421 of the family's 1533-position model. The record is from RNAcentral.